Molecule: ribosomal RNA, 432 nt
Filed under: uncultured bacterium
Lineage: Bacteria
Description: partial 16S ribosomal RNA
Rfam family: Bacterial small subunit ribosomal RNA
Source: RNAcentral
AACGAACGCUGGCGGCAUGCCUAACACAUGCAAGUCGAACGAGACCUUCGGGUCUAGUGGCGCACGGGUGCGUAACGCGUGGGAACCUGCCCUUAGGUUCGGAAUAACUCCCCGAAAGGGGUGCUAAUACCGGAUAAUGUCUUCGGACCAAAGAUUUAUCGCCUUUGGAUGGGCCCGCGUUGGAUUAGCUAGUUGGUAGGGUAAAAGCCUACCAAGGCGACGAUCCAUAGCUGGUCUGAGAGGAUGAUCAGCCACACUGGGACUGAGACACGGCCCAGACUCCUACGGGAGGCAGCAGUGGGGAAUAUUGGACAAUGGGCGAAAGCCUGAUCCAGCAAUGCCGCGUGAGUGAUGAAGGCCUUAGGGUUGUAAAGCUCUUGUACCCGGGAUGAUAAUGACAGUACCGGGAGAAUAAGCUCCGGCUAACUCCGU